RNAcentral lists this ribosomal RNA (429 nucleotides) under Bacteroidota bacterium. Its description in RNAcentral is "Bacteroidetes bacterium partial 16S ribosomal RNA". It matches the Rfam family "Bacterial small subunit ribosomal RNA", at positions 355 to 776 of the family's 1533-position model. The record is from RNAcentral. Lineage: Bacteria; Pseudomonadati; Bacteroidota.
UAGGGAAUCUUCGGCAAUGGGGGGAACCCUGACCGAGCAACGCCGCGUGAGUGAAGAAGGUUUUCGGACCGUAAAGCUCUGUUGUUAAGGAAGAACGAGUGUGAGAAUGGAAAGUUCAUACUGUGACGGUACUUAACCAGAAAGGGACGGCUAACUACGUGCCAGCAGCCGCGGUAAUACGUAGGUCCCGAGCGUUGUCCGGAUUUAUUGGGCGUAAAGCGAGCGCAGGCGGUUAGAUAAGUCUGAAGUUAAAGGCAGUGGCUCAACCAUUGUAGGCUUUGGAAACUGUUUAACUUGAGUGCAGAAAGGGAGAGUGGAAUUCCAUGUGUAGCGGUGAAAUGCGUAGAUAUAUGGAGGAACACCGGUGGCGAAAGCGGCUCUCUGGUCUGUAACUGACGCUGAGGCUCGAAAGCGUGGGUAGCAAACAGG